GCGCCUUCUCCAAAAUUGCCGUUUUUCUUGGAAUUCUGGGGCAGGCGAGAGGAUUGCAAAUCCUCCAUCGCCGGUUCGAAUCCGGCCGGCGCC
RNAcentral lists this transfer RNA (93 nucleotides) under Planctomycetota bacterium. RNAcentral describes it as "Planctomycetes bacterium (marine metagenome) tRNA-Cys". The record is from RNAcentral. Lineage: Bacteria; Pseudomonadati; Planctomycetota.